UACGUAGGGGCGAGCGUUGUCCGGAUUUAUUGGGCGUAAAGAGCGUGUAGGCGGCCAGGUAGGUCUGCUGUGAAACUCGAGGCUCAACCUCGAGACGUCGGCGGAAACCAUCUGGCUAGAGUCCGGAAGAGGAGAGUGGAAUUCCUGGUGUAGCGGUGAAAUGCGCAGAUAUCAGGAAGAACACCCGUGGCGAAGGCGGCUCUCUGGGACGGUACUGACGCUGAGGUGCGAAAGCGUGGGGAGCAAACAGG
This 251-nucleotide ribosomal RNA is filed under the name uncultured bacterium. RNAcentral describes it as "partial 16S ribosomal RNA". It matches the Rfam family "Bacterial small subunit ribosomal RNA", at positions 524 to 776 of the family's 1533-position model. The record is from RNAcentral.